GAUUUCUGGCUUGUCACCUGCGGCCGGCCACGGUCUUCGUGUGUUAGUGCUGCCGGUGCUGGCCAUCCUUCCCAUCGCACCGCUCACGUCUUCAUUGAUGCGGGCGGCGUAUGGGAUCGUUUACUUUGAAAAAAUUAGAGUGUUUCAAGCAGGCUUUAUGCUAUGAAUACAUUAGCAUGGAAUAAUAAUUUAGGACUUCGGUUCUAUUUUGUUGGUUUCUAGGACGGAAGUAAUGAUUGAUAGGGAUAGUUGGGGGUGCUAGUAUUCAGCGGCCAGAGGUGAAAUUCUUGGAUUCGCUGAAGACUAACUUAUGCGAAAGCAUU
Molecule: ribosomal RNA, 323 nt
Filed under: uncultured Limnofilidae
Lineage: Eukaryota; Cercozoa; Limnofilidae
Description: bacterial SSU rRNA
Rfam family: Eukaryotic small subunit ribosomal RNA (bases 114-323)
Source: RNAcentral